GAUGAACGCUGGCUGCAUGCUUAACACAUGCAAGUCGAACGAUGAAACGCAGCUUGCUGGGUGGGUUAGAGGCCAACGGGUGAGUGACACGUUAAUAACUAGCCAUUCACUCUGGGAUACUCCUGGAACACUCUGACUAAUACCUGAAAGCAACGCCUAACGCAUGGUGGGCGUUUGAACGUUUUAUCGGUUUUGGAUGUACUCGCAGCCUAUCCGCUUGUUUGUGUGGUAGUGGCUCUACAGGGCGACGUCGGGUAAGCGGCCUGAGAGGGCGACCGGGCACACGGGGACAGAGACACGGCCCAGAGUACUACGGGAGACAGCAGUGGGGAAGAUUGCACAAUGGGGGCAAGUCUGAUGCAGGGACGCCGCGUGAGGGAUGACGGCCUUCUGGUUGUAAACCUCUUUCAGUAGGGAAGAAGCGAAAGUGACGGUACCUGCAGAAGAAGCACCGGCUAACUACGUG
This 466-nucleotide ribosomal RNA is filed under the name uncultured bacterium. Its description in RNAcentral is "partial 16S ribosomal RNA". It matches the Rfam family "Bacterial small subunit ribosomal RNA", at positions 28 to 507 of the family's 1533-position model. The record is from RNAcentral.